UGAAAAUAAUGAAACUUUAUGGUGCAGAAAGUGGCUUUUUCAUUACAGUUUCUGGGUGCUGGGCAACGGUAGAUCACUAUGGCUUCUGUACCGUGAAAUGAAGCUUAUGAUGAAAUACUGAUGCUUGGCCAAUCUCACCCACGAGAUAUAAUAAGAACUGAUGCAGAUACAGGCAACUUACCCAACUUCGAAAGUAGUGCGCUGGAUUCGCCUAAAGAUGCGCUAAACAACGCAUCAAUUAGUUUGACAGAUAAAACUUUGGAAGAAAGUUCGGUUCGGAAGUCCCGACAGCAAAGCGAGGUAAAAUGAGUGAAAAUGAAGUUUAAACUGAUUUAAAAUUAAAUUGAAA
This is a long non-coding RNA of Armigeres subalbatus, 349 nucleotides long. RefSeq lists it as uncharacterized. The transcript has 3 exons. The record is from RefSeq and is a predicted model, not a curated record. Lineage: Eukaryota; Metazoa; Arthropoda; Insecta; Diptera; Culicidae.